Molecule: long non-coding RNA, 569 nt
Organism: Portunus trituberculatus (swimming crab)
Lineage: Eukaryota; Metazoa; Arthropoda; Malacostraca; Decapoda; Portunidae
Exons: 3
Source: RefSeq, a predicted model, not a curated record
AUUUAUUUUGUCACCUGUGAACCAUUAUGUCGUCUUUCCUCUUUGUGAACUUGUGUCAGGAAGAUGUGUGUGCUGGGCCUCGUGGAGCAAAGGUAAGUGAGGAGACGGAAGAGGAAUGGACGGAAACACACAGACAGACCGUAAAUAGUUCGUCAGUCCGUCACGUCACGUCAUGCUGUGGAUAUCCAGCAAGAUGGUAGGCGUGUGUUGUCCCGUGACGCCUCCACUUCAUACCAUCACAACAGAUAGACGCACAUAGUAACUUUGAGGUGUUGACGCCUUCCCAUUGGUCGCCACGGCCCAGGUGACGUCGGCUGUGAUUGGUUCCCUGGCGCACCUCAUUGGACAACACACUCAGGCCAUGGAGGAAGGAAGAGAGAGUGUACAAGGCUUUAACUGAAACAGAAUAUCAGAAGUGUAAUGGAGGAGGUAAAUUUAGUGUACUCACUAAUAUGACUUCCUUUUCUACUCCUUUAUGAAGGAAGAAGGAAGGCAAAAGCCUUUAACUGAAACAGGAUAUCAGAAGUUAGAAAUAUUGUAAUGUAUCCCUCACAAAUAUAACUGAAAAA